Molecule: ribosomal RNA, 484 nt
Filed under: uncultured bacterium
Lineage: Bacteria
Description: partial 16S ribosomal RNA
Rfam family: Bacterial small subunit ribosomal RNA
Source: RNAcentral
AAUGAACGCUGGCGGCAGGCCUAACACAUGCAAGUCGAGCGGACGAAGGAUGCUUGCUCCUGGAUUCAGCGGCGGACGGGUGGGUAAUGCCUAGGAAUCUGCCUGUUAGUGGGGGAUAACGUCCGGAAACGGGCGCUAAUAACGCAUACGUCCUGAGGGUGAAAGUGGGGGAUCUUCUGACCUCACGGUAUCAGAUGUGCCUCGUUCGGAUUAGCUAGUUGGUGGGGUAAAGGCUUACCAAGGCGACGAUCCGUAACUGGUCUGAGAGGAUGAUCAGUCACACUGGAACUGAGACACGGUCCAGACUCCUACGUGAGUCAGCAGUGUGGAAUAUUGGACAAUGGUCGAAAGCUUGAUCCAGCCAUGCCGUGUGUGUGAAGAAGGUCUUCGGAUUGUAAAACUCUUUUAGUUGGGAGGAAGUGCAGUAAUUUUAUACCUUGCUGUUUUGACGUUACCUACAGAAUAAGCACCGGCUAACUUCGUG